AAGUGAUGAUGGCACACGUGAUGUGAGUAAAAGCUUGAUUGUUUAGGUCACUUUAACACCUGCUUCAUUGUGGUUCGCGCCAAAGAUUAAAAAUGAUGCAUAGUUGUGGCGGGGUUGGCUCAGUUGGUAGAGCGGGCGCCCAUAUAUAGAGGUUUAUUCCUCGA
Long non-coding RNA from Sander lucioperca (pikeperch), 164 nucleotides. RefSeq lists it as uncharacterized. The record is from RefSeq and is a predicted model, not a curated record. The transcript has 3 exons. Lineage: Eukaryota; Metazoa; Chordata; Actinopteri; Perciformes; Percidae.